RNAcentral lists this ribosomal RNA (476 nucleotides) under uncultured Lachnospiraceae bacterium. Its description in RNAcentral is "bacterial SSU rRNA". It matches the Rfam family "Bacterial small subunit ribosomal RNA", at positions 17 to 546 of the family's 1533-position model. Lineage: Bacteria; Bacillati; Bacillota; Clostridia; Lachnospirales; Lachnospiraceae. The record is from RNAcentral.
CCUGGGCUCAGGAUGAACGCUGGCGGCGUGCUUAACACAUGCAAGUCGAACGAAGCUGCUAAAAGGAAGCCUUCGGGUGGAAUUUGGUUAGACUUAGUGGCGGACGGGUGAGUAACGCGUGGAUAACCUGCCUUAUUACAGGGGGAUAACGGAGAGAAAUUUACCGCUAAGACCGCAUAAGACCACAGCACCGCAUGGUGCAGGGGUAAAAAUAUUUAAUAGGUAUAAGAUGGAUCCGCGUCCGAUUAGCUAGUUGGUGAGGUGAGGCUCACCAAGGCGACGAUCGGAGCCGGCUGAGAGGGUGAACGGCCACAUAGGGCUGAGGACACGGCCCAAACUCCGUACGGGACGACGAGCGAGGUGGGGGAAUAAGUUUGGACAAAGUGGGGGGGAAAACCCUGAUCCGAGCGACGCCGCCCAAGCGUUCAUCCUGACGCCGAGGGACGUCGGUGGGGAGGCGAAGGGCACAGAGGGGA